AGAGUUUGAUCCUGGCUCAGAUUGAACGCUAGCGGGAUGCCUUACACAUGCAAGUCGAACGGCAGCGGGAAGAAAGCUUGCUUUCUUUGCCGGCGAGUGGCGAACGGGUGAGUAAUGUAUCGGAACGUGCCCAGUAGCGGGGGAUAACUGGCCGAAAGGUCAGCUAAUACCGCAUACGCCCUACGGGGGAAAGGGGGGGACUCUUCGGAGCCUCUCACUAUUGGAGCGGCCGAUAUCGGAUUAGCUAGUUGGUGGGGUAAUGGCCUACCAAGGCGACGAUCCGUAGCUGGUCUGAGAGGACGACCAGCCACACUGGGACUGAGACACGGCCCAGACUCCUACGGGAGGCAGCAGUGGGGAAUUUUGGACAAUGGGGGGAACCCUGAUCCAGCCAUCCCGCGUGUGCGAUGAAGGCCUUCGGGUUGUAAAGCACUUUUGUCAGGGAAGAAAAGACUAUCGAUAAUACCGAUGGUCGAUGACGGUACCUGAAGAAUAAGCACCGGCUAACUACGUGCCAGCAGCCGCGGUAAUACGUAGGGUGCAAGCGUUAAUCGGAAUUACUGGGCGUAAAGCGUGCGCAGGCGGUUCGGAAAGAAGGAUGUGAAAUCCCAGGGCUCAACCUUGGAACUGCAUUCUUAACUACCGGACUAGAGUAUGUCAGAGGGGGGUAGAAUUCCGCGUGUAGCAGUGAAAUGCGUAGAUAUGCGGAGGAAUACCGAUGGCGAAGGCAGCCCCCUGGGAUAAUACUGACGCUCAUGCACGAAAGCGUGGGUAGCAAACAGGAUUAGAUACCCUGGUAGUCCACGCCCUAAACGAUGUCAACUAGCUGUUGGGCCCUUCGGGGCUUAGUAGCGUAGCUAACGCGUGAAGUUGACCGCCUGGGGAGUACGGUCGCAAGAUUAAAACUCAAAGGAAUUGACGGGGACCCGCACAAGCGGUGGAUGAUGUGGAUUAAUUCGAUGCAACGCGAAAAACCUUACCUACCCUUGACAUGUCUGGAAUCCUUUAGGGAUAGAGGAGUGCUCGCAAGAGAACCGGAACACAGGUGCUGCAUGGCUGUCGUCAGCUCGUGUCGUGAGAUGUUGGGUUAAGUCCCGCAACGAGCGCAACCC
RNAcentral lists this ribosomal RNA (1112 nucleotides) under uncultured bacterium. RNAcentral describes it as "bacterial SSU rRNA". It matches the Rfam family "Bacterial small subunit ribosomal RNA", at positions 8 to 1104 of the family's 1533-position model. The record is from RNAcentral.